AGCGAAAUGCUUGUGCUUCUAGUUCCGACAAUGCAGUAAUAUGGUUGAUAUUAACGAUGAAAGGAGGAAUUAUCUGUCUCUCCUAUUGUGUACCGCUGUUAAAUACUGUGGAAAAAUAAAUAAAUAAAAACAGGGAAAAUAAGUACCUAGAACUACCAAUUAUUAUAGAUAAAUAUAAAAGAAAUGUCACGCCCUGACCUGAGAGAGAGGGUUUGUUUCUCUAUGUGGUUAGGUCAGGGUAUGCGGUGGGCAUUCUAUGUUUUGUAUUUCUUUGUGUUGAGCCGAGUAUGGUUCCUAAUCAGAGGCAGCUGUCUAUCGUUGUCUCUGAUUGGGAACCAUACUUAGGCAGCCCUUUCCCCACCUGUAGUCGUGGGAUCUUAUUUUCAGUGUUCUGAUUUAUAAUGAAUAAUAAGAUGAACACUCACCGCGCUGCAACUUGGUCUACUCCUUUGGACGAUCGUUACAAGAAAAGGGUUAACACAACACUGGACUGAACACCCUAAUUGUCAAACUAAUAUUAAUGUACAACAAUAUAGAAGAUACAUAACUAGAGGUUAUGCAAUAUGAGUGUAUAUCCACUGCAUGCUUCUUAGGUGUGUAAUUGACAUGACUCAAGGAGCUAUUGAAAUGUAAAAUUAUGACGUUACACUGCUUGAUUUUACAGGACACAAACAAGAGUGUGCAAUACAUAAGGCUACUCCGUGGACAUUCUGAAGUUUGUUUGAGUCCAGUAGGUCACAUGACCAAGGAACGAUUGAAGUUUUACAUUUUACAUUUUUUUAAAUGUAAAAUCGAGUGAGAUGAAAAUGGACAAACUAAAGGGUGUGUAAUAUAGAAAGGUAGUCAGUGGACAUUCUGGACCUUGUUUGAGUCAAGUAGGUCACAUGACCAAGGAGCUAUUGAAAUUCUAAUGUAAAAAAAAAUAAUACGUUUGUACUUUGUUUACGCUCCCUAAGUGAUUCAACUAAGAAUACAAAAUGCUGCUCACAUUUUCACGUGUUUAUUCGCUUUGGAAAGUGAAAAUAAAACCUGUGCAAUGUUGUGCGCAAUUUUUCCAACAUCAUGACACUUAUUUGGAGUCUGUGGCUGAAGUGUUUGAAUGUGCGUCCGUUGAAUAUCCAACUUGAAACUGUUUUUACCUCGGUGUCAAUACUCCUGUUAGAAACAUAAUUUGCCCAAACGGUAAGCUUCAUCUUGAAGGCAUCCACUUUGUCCCUCUGUUCAAAUCGAUGGUGCCCCCUCCCUUUCUUUGACACACUGAACAAAUUCAGAUGAUCAAAAAUAUCCGCCAGGUAGGCAACUUGCACGAGCCUACCUGGCCCACUGGAAGCCCGAGGUAGGGUUACGGGGGUAGGUUGACCUCAGGUCUCCCCACUGGAUCUCGAGGUAGGGGGGGGGUUGGUUGACCUAAGGUCUCCCCACUGGAAGCUCGAGGUAGGGAUGCGGGGGUAGGUUGACCUCAGGUCUCCCCACUGGAUCCCGAGGUAGGAGGGGGUAGGUUGACCUCAGGUCUCUCCACUGGAAUCCCGAGGUAGGGAUGCGGGGGUAGGUUGACCUCAGGUCUCCCCACUGGAAGCCCGAAGUCGGGGUGCGGGGGUAGGUUGACCUCAGGUCUCCCCACUGGAAGCCCGAGGUAGAGGAAAAUCUAUCAAAUAGCGCACCUCUAACUUUGUACAGUACGAAUGCAAAUUAGUUUGUGUGUUUCUUGUUUGAAGUGCAAUAGUGAAAUAAUCAUGUUCUCUUCUAUAUAAGUGUGUUAUUCUAUUUGUGUAUUUGUGUGUAUGUUGGGGCGGCAGGUAGCCUAGUGGUUAGAGUGUUGGACUAGUAACCGAAAGGUUGCUGGAUUGAAUCCCCGAGCUGACAAGGUAAAAAUCUGUCGCUCUGCCCCCAAUUGCUGCUUGUUAUAGAACCCCCUCAGCCCCCAGCUGUGCC
RNAcentral lists this long non-coding RNA (1932 nucleotides) under Salmo salar (Atlantic salmon). Its description in RNAcentral is "lncRNA (ENSSSAG00000106313.1)". The record is from RNAcentral. Lineage: Eukaryota; Metazoa; Chordata; Actinopteri; Salmoniformes; Salmonidae.